AGGCUGCAGUGAGCUAUGGUCAUACCACUGCACUCCAGCCUGGGCAACAAACAAGACCCUGCCUCUCAAAAAAAACAAAACAAAAAUCUGACAAAUAGGGUUGUUAACUGUGAGCCUGAGGAAAAGUAUAGAUUUUAGUGUGCUUAAACAACUUGUCUGUUUUCUUUAAAUCUUUUCCCUUAGGUUAGAUAAUGCUGCUCAUGAUUGUGAGAGCACAGAAAGUUCUUUUGUUUUCUAGAAUUAAGUCUGCUCACCUGGUUUGCAUUCUGCAUCUGCCUUUCUUUAGUGCAGGGUAGUGUCAGUCCCACUGUGGCCCAAAGUUUGCAUUCUGCGUUAACCAUGUCACAAUUAAUGAGGUUUUACUAUAGGCACAAAUGCUUAAAAAAGAAAAAAACGAUUGUUUUGUGUGGUUAAAAUAAAAACUUGUGGGGAUUUUAAUGUAUUUCUUUGGUGAAAAUACAUUAGUUGUUUGUCUCUAAUUGGAUCACUUUCCCUUCUAGACUCUGAACAGGAAGUGCCUCCUGGAACCACAGAGUCGGUUCAGUCUGUGGAUUACUACUGUGAUACGAUCAUUCUUCGGAACAUAGCUCCGCACACUGUGGUGGAUUCCAUCAUGACAGCACUGUCUCCUUACGCGUCUUUAGCAGUCAAUAACAUCCGCCUCAUAAAAGACAAACAGACCCAGCAGAACAGAGGCUUCGCAUUUGUGCAGCUGUCUUCUGCAAUGGAUGCUUCUCAGCUGCUUCAGAUAUUACAGAGUCU
RNAcentral lists this small RNA (762 nucleotides) under Pan troglodytes (chimpanzee). Its description in RNAcentral is "retained intron". The record is from RNAcentral. Lineage: Eukaryota; Metazoa; Chordata; Mammalia; Primates; Hominidae.